AACUAACGCUGGCAGUGCGUCUUAAGCAUGCAAGUCAAACGGGAUGUAGCAAUACAUCUAGUGGCGAACGGGUGAGUAACGCGUGGAUGAUCUACCUACGAGAUGGGGAUAACUAUUAGAAAUAGUAGCUAAUACCGAAUAAAGUCAAUUAAUUUGUUAAUUGAUGAAAGGAAGCCUUUAAAGCUUCGCUUGUAGAUGAGUCUGCGUCUUAUUAGCUAGUUGGUAGGGUAAAUGCCUACCAAGGCGAUGAUAAGUAACCGGCCUGAGAGGGUGAACGGUCACACUGGAACUGAGAUACGGUCCAGACUCCUACGGGAGGCAGCAGCUAAGAAUCUUCCGCAAUGGGCGAAAGCCUGACGGAGCGACACUGCGUGAAUGAAGAAGGUCGAAAGAUUGUAAAAUUCUUUUAUAAAUGAGGAAUAAGCUUUGUAGGAAAUGACAAAGUGAUGACGUUAAUUUAUGAAUAAGCCCCGGCUAAUUACGUGCCAGCAGCCGCGGUAAUACGUAAGGGGCGAGCGUUGUUCGGGAUUAUUGGGCGUA
Molecule: ribosomal RNA, 540 nt
Filed under: Borreliella burgdorferi (Lyme disease spirochete)
Lineage: Bacteria; Pseudomonadati; Spirochaetota; Spirochaetia; Spirochaetales; Borreliaceae
Description: bacterial SSU rRNA
Rfam family: Bacterial small subunit ribosomal RNA
Source: RNAcentral